Molecule: ribosomal RNA, 497 nt
Filed under: uncultured bacterium
Lineage: Bacteria
Description: partial 16S ribosomal RNA
Rfam family: Bacterial small subunit ribosomal RNA
Source: RNAcentral
GACGAACGCUGGCGGCGUGCCUAAUACAUGCAAGUCGAACGCUGAAGCGAGGAGCUUGCUCUUCUUGGGUGAGUUGCGAACGGGUGAGUAACGCGUAGGUAACCUGCCUGGUAGCGGGGUAUAACUAUUGGAAACGAUAGCUAAUACCGCAUAAAAUGCAUUAUCGCAUUAUAAUCCAUUGAAAGGUGCAAAUGCAUCACUACCAUAUGGACCUUCGUUGUUUUAGCUAGUUGGUGGGGUAACGGCGCCCGAAGGCGACGCUACAUAGCCAACAUGAGAGGGGGGGCGGCCAGCCUGGGACGGGGACACGGCCCAGACGCCUACGGGAGGCAGCAGUAGGGUAUCUUCGGCAAUGGACGGAAGUCUGACCGAGCAAGGCCGAGUGAGGGAAGAAGGUUUUCGGAUCGUAAAGGUCUGUUGUAAGAGAAGAAAGAGUGUGAGAGUGGAAAGUUCACACUGUGACGGUAACUGAUCAGAAAGGGACGGCUAACUACGUG